AUAGAUUUACAGCUCCUGUAGCGUAUACAAAUAAAUAAAUUUAUGACUAUGUAUACAAAGAAGAAAACCUAUGUAAAGUUCGAUCCCGCUAACUAUGCGAGAAUACGUUCGAAUCUAUGUUUAGCUCGACCGCGAAGCUGUACUUCAUAUGAUAGUUAUAUUAGUUAAUGUUUGACUGCAUGCUUUUGGGUGUUUUAGCGCUAAACCAUGAUUUAACGUAAAGUAGAAUAUAGUAAACGGGGGGAAACGAUACACGUUGAGUGAAUGAUUGUGAUAAGCUUUAAAUUAUUUUUCUAUACUCGGCCAGCUAGAAGUCGGUCGGCCCGAAGUUUACAUUGGUUUAUCGUAUCAUAUUUAUGCGCUGGUGCAUUAUUUUUGUGAUGUUUUAUAUUCAAAUGUUAUAUGAAAUUGAUUGUGGAUGAUAAUAUAUUGAAAUAAUGCGUUACAUAAAGAGUACCGAUACGCACACGAAAACAUUUUAAAUAUCUUGGAAUAACUCAUUGAAUACUUGCUAUUUACACAAAAAUGCAUUCAUGUUUAAUUUACAAAACCUAAAACUGAUUUGUAAUUUUACAAAUUACAAUUACUGUUAUCCAGUCCCAUGGAAUGUCCACUUAUGGAUUCUGAUAAACCAAUUCAACAAUUUCAAUGAAACUAACCUCGAAUCCGAAUCGAAUAGAUGAUACUGUAUAAAACGACAUUGUGAUUUAAUUUCACGUAAUUAUAACGAUCCGCCAUAUUAACAUAGGUUAGAUUUCGUUGUAAAACUAAUUAUAAUUUCCGGGUUACGAAUACGUAAGAUAAAAAAAUCUGAUGAAUUUGUAAUUGUAAACUAUUGAACCUAGUGGCCUUAUGAAUUUCCAGUGUGGUGAUUGUAGCAUUCGUUCAAGCUUUAUUGUUGGACUUAUGUAAUGUCGCUUUAAGAAUUAGACUGAUUUAGCUUAAGCGUUAAAGUAUACUUUAGUUAAAUUUUAGUGAUUAAGGCGAACGUACGACAAUCGAACGAAUCUUUCACUGUUAAACGUAUCUAUUUUAGUGCCGUUUCAUUUGUGUCACGUCCUCUCGAAAUUUGUUUUGUAGUUACAAAUUUAAAAGUUAGUACGUUACAAAUUUGGACUCAAUAAUGUUACACCUUUAUCUGUUAAACA
Molecule: long non-coding RNA, 1148 nt
Organism: Cydia amplana
Lineage: Eukaryota; Metazoa; Arthropoda; Insecta; Lepidoptera; Tortricidae
Exons: 3
Source: RefSeq, a predicted model, not a curated record